RNAcentral lists this ribosomal RNA (6410 nucleotides) under Mycosarcoma maydis (corn smut). RNAcentral describes it as "Ustilago maydis partial large subunit ribosomal RNA". The stretch from base 1 to 2833 matches the Rfam family "Bacterial large subunit ribosomal RNA", at positions 430 to 2925 of the family's 2925-position model. The record is from RNAcentral. Lineage: Eukaryota; Fungi; Basidiomycota; Ustilaginomycetes; Ustilaginales.
AGCCUUGUAUGAAUAAGGGGGUACCAUCCUCCAAGGCUAAGUAUAAUAUAUCUAGCGAUAGUGGAGAGUAACGUGAGUGAAAGGUGAAAAGUAAGUAGAUGACUAGUGAAAUAGAACCUGAACUAGUAAUCCUAUAAGCAGUUGGAGUUUUAGUAAAAAAUGACAACGUACCUUUUGCAUAAUGGGUCAGCGAGUUAGUUUAUAGAGCAAGAUGAAUAAUCUAAGCGAAAGCAACUAUAAUAAGUGGAUCAAAAAUAGUUUUAUGAACUAGACCCGAAGCCAAAUGAUCUUACUAUGGCCAGGCUAAAAAAGGGCCGAACAGGUGAAUGUUGCAAAAUUCUCUGAUGAGCUGUGGUAAGGGGUGAAUUUUUCGCCCUCAUAACGAGUGAUUGUUAUUGAUAAAUCUAACUCAUAACGGUGAAGCCUAAGGUUCUACAAUAUCCAAAUAGAACUAUGGUAAUACCGUGGGAAGUCUUAUUAUUGUAGGAACUAUCUAUUUUAUUAAUAUUAUUUAUAUUAAUACCUUAAUAAUGACCCCGUAACGACUGAUUCAAAAGAAGAGACUCUGAAAUUUAUUUCUUUGUAACACGUUAGCACUCUAUCGUUCCAAUCUACUAUGAUUAUAAGCAACAAGAUACUAUUUAUACUAUAUUUUAAUUUGCGGUAUUAAAGAGGAUAAUGAUCUAAUGAAAGUAGUAGAACUAGUUUAUAAUAUGAAUCUGGAUGGGAAAUCACGUAAACAAAGUAAGGAAGAAUAUCUAAAAAAAUUUGUUAAGGAUAUUACAGUAUAAAAAAUAUCUUAUAAUCUAAGGUAGAAGUAGAGUUGAAGGUAUAGUCUAAACUAUAAUGAAAAUUAUAGAAUUUCUUGGAAAGGCCAAUCUAAUUUGGAUGAUAGCUGGUAUUCUGCGAAACCUAUUUAGGUAGGGCCUUUAUUUACACUUUUAUAUGUACAGCACUGAUCAUCAUACAUUAGCCAGAUAUUUAUAUCACUAUGUUAAAUUGGGGGGUCUCACAACUCUACCAUUGAUGGUUAACCUCGGAAGGAUAAUAGUGAAUGAUAAGGGCACAGUCUAUUCAUGAUAAGGUGGAUAGACAAAAGGGAAACAGCCCAGAGCACGUGUUAAGGUCCCAAAAUAUUGUUAAGUGAAUAUAAGAAAGUUUAACUCCUAAUACAACCAUGAAGUAGGCUUGGAGGUAGCCAUCUUUUAAUGAUAGUGUAACAACUCAGUGGUCCAUGUUUCCCUAAUCCCUUACAGGGAUUAGGGAAACACAUAAAAGAAAAAGAAAUUUUUCUUGCAGUUUCCUAGGAAACAGGAGGAGAUAAGCGUCGAAAAUUAACGGGUCUUAGACAAUAUACCUACACCGUGACUAUUUAUAAUAUAUUCUAUUUUUAUUAUAAAUAAGGGUAGCAGAACAUUCAGUAUCUGAUUGAAGGGAAAUGUUUCAUUUACUGGACAGUACUGAAGAGAAAAUGCUGACAUGAGUAACGUAGAAAGGAGUUAAAACACUCCUCGCCGAAUACGAGAGGGUUUCAUGGAAAAGUUAAUCUGCCAUGAGUUAUACGGACUCUAAGGAUUAUAUGACGAAUGUUUAUAUCUGAUGAGAAUAAUAACACUGAAUUAUCUAUAUAUAAUAUCAUUUAAUCUGUAUGAGAUUGUACAGAGUAAAGGAUAGAUCAAGAAAAAUAAGUGUCACUAAAUUUAUAGUGAAUCCGUACCCUAAACCGACACAGGUUCGUAGGUAGAGAAUACUAAGGCGUAGAGAUAAUGCUUGUGAAGGAACUCGGCAAAUUGUGCCCGUAAGUUAGACGAUAAGGGUAACCAGAAUAAAAUAAUUAUAUUCUAAUUCUGAGUGUCACAUAAUCGAGGGCUGCGACUGUUUACCAAAAACACAGCAACUUGCUAAGACGAAUAGUACUUGUAUAAGUUGUGAACUCUGCCCAAUGCCAUGUCGUGUAAAGAAGGUGAUUUAUUUAGUAGUUAUACUAAAUAGUGUCACUAACUGAUGCCAUGGUGAAUGGCGGUCUUAACUAUAAGGAUCUGAAAGUAGCGAAAUUCCUUGGCCAUUAAAUGUGGUCCUGCAUGAAUGAGGUAACGUGGCCCUGCUGUCUCCACAAGCAUCUCAGUGAAAUUGAAUUAGCCGUGCAGAUGCGGUUUACCUUCAGUUAGACGGGAAGACCCUAUGCAGCUUUACUGUAACUUGAUAUUGUUUCUUCUAUAGCUAAGUGUAGUAUACAAGGGAGUAGAUAUUUUCUACAUCAGUGAAAUACCUUGAUUAGUCUAAAGAAGAAACUUACCUAAAUGACACUAAUCGAAUAGUUCUUCAUGAGAUAUUGCGAAGAUCUCUAGUUUACGUCUCUAUAAAUUAAAUAGGAUUUAAUUUUCAUUUUUUUUUUCUAUUAGGUUUAUGGAAAGAGGAGUUUAUUCUCUUCUUUCCAUAAAUGGAAUAGAGGAAGAAUUCUUCCUCUAUUCCAUUUAUAAUACAGCCCCUUUUAUAUUUAUAAAAUAUAAGAUAAACUGUAUAUGAAUAAUUUAUUAAAUUUAGUAGUCUGGGAAAAUAUCAGGUGGUCAGUUUGACUGGGACGGUAGCCUCUAAUAAAGUAUCAGAGGCCUUCAAAGGUAUGCAUAUAUUGGUCAGAAACCAAUGAACUAUGUAAAGUUUAUUAAAGCGUAAUAGUAUAAGCAUGCUUGACUGAAAGACUGAUAGGUCGAUCAGAUACGCAAGUAGGAUAUAGUGAUCCGGUGAUUCAUUAUGGAAUGGUCAUCGCUCAAGAAAUAAAAGUUACGCUAGGGAUAGACUGUUGUCCCAUCUAUUUAUUAUUUAUGUUAGUUAUUGAAAUAAUUACUAAAUCUACUAUAUAGAUUUAUAAUUACUAUAAUAUAAAAGUAAGUAGAUACAAAAUCGGGUGAAUUGCAAGGACAUCUUAUUUUUAUAUAAGACAAUUUGCAGCUAAGCUUAUAUCAGUGUAUAUCUAAAUUUAUAGAUAGUGAUGUAAGAAAGUUCAACGACUAAUCGGUGAGUUGCACUAACAAUAAUCCGGACACGAGCGCCCGACAUUUAACAGUAUUAAUACCGACUACGGAGAAAUAAAAUAAAAUAAAAUAUACGAUGAAAAAUAAAAUGACACGAGAAAUGCUAGUUUCUAUUAAAGAAGAACUAGCUAAACAAGGGAAACACUUAGCCCUAACUCAAAUUACUUUAAAGAAUAUAAAGAAACGCUAACUGGACUAUCUGAAUCUCAAAAAGAUAGGGACGGAGAUGUUCGAAUCGAACAGGCUAAAAGCGGGAAUGGACAUCUUAUGAAGUUUGAAUGGGCUAAUAAGGAAUAUGCACAUGAUGUUUAUGAACAAUUCAAAUCUUAUGUAAUUACGCCACCACGUGAACAAAAGCGUAUUAACACUAGUGGAAAUGAAAAUGGUGCUUUCAAACUAUUGUACAUCCUGAUCUAGACUAUCUAGGUGAUGGUGCUUAAUGACAAAGUAUAUGAAAACAUUAGCCCCCAGACACUAGCUUGUUGGUUCAUGGAUGAUGGUGGAAUGAAUGGUAGUCAUUCACAUGGUCUCCAAUUCCGGGUUUCAGUCAUUUUGAAGUAAAUAAACUUUGUGAAGUUCUAAACUCACGGUACAAGUUUAAUGCUUGAAUGGGUGUAAAUAAAUCAAAACCUGUUAUUAAUAUUCCUGCAAAUCAAUAUCAACGAUUUCUUGAAAUUACUGGGAAAUACAUUUAUGAUAGUAUGAAACAUAAAUUUCGAAUGCGAUAAUCUAUUGAUUGAUAUCCCCUUUUAUUUAUUUUCUUUUUCUGUAAAUUACUCUGAUUUCAAUAGAGUUAGUUUUGUAUUAAUAGUUAAAUGAUGACAUAGUCUAAACUACAUAGUGAUAUGUAGAAAAAUAGUAUUAAAUGUGCUAUUCGUAAUAAAUAAUGAACAGGUUUAUCGUUUGCGAGAGUUCAUAUUGUCCAAACGGUUUGACACCUCGAUUAAAUAAAGAGUCACAGUCGAGGUUAAAUCGGGUGAAUUGCGGGAAACUCUCAUUACUUAACUCAAUAGUGAGACAAUCCGCAGCCAAGUCUAUUAAGGUAUUUUAGUUUACUAAAUCGUAGUAGAAAGGUUCAACGACUAGAAGGUGAGUCAUACCAACAAUAAUCCUUCCACGAGCGCCCGACAAUUAUACCUUGUUUAAAUUGUAGCUAAGUAGGUUAAUAUAGGUACUGGAAGCAUCUUUUGAAAUAAUAAGAUAUCCAGCAUCUGUUCACCGUUUACCGUGCAAUAUUGCAUAGGCAUACUGGUGUAAUUUUUACGCAAUCUAAACAAUGAAAAAGAUUAUUAAUGCUCGAAACGGUCAUCACUUUAAUUCUAAAUAUUGGCAAUCUCCCAACCCUAAACUAUUUCAACUUAUUCUAGGUAUGGUACUAAGCGAUGCUACUAUGUAUCGUGUUAGCCAUGAGGCUCUAGUUAAGUUUGAGCAAGGAGCUGAUCAAAAAGAGUUUCUAUUUCAUCUAUUCCAAGAGUCUAAAGAAUAUUGCUUUAUGACUGGUCUAAUCCAUUAGGUGACUAAUGGCGUAAGCAUAAACAGCUUACACUCUUCAUCGGGGAUCCCCUUUAUAUUAGAUUCCCAUUCAUUCUAAUAGUAAUGGAGAGGAAAAUGGUCGACUCAUCUCAUCCUCCAGGUGUAGUAGCUUGGAAGGGUUCAGCUGUUCGCUGAUUAAAGAGGUACGCGAGUUGGGUUCAAUACGACGUGAAAUUAAAUUAAUUUAAUUGAUUUCCCGCAAUAGGUUAAUUCAAAUUAUUAUUUAAUAGCAAGCAUAAUAAUUAAUACAAAUUAUUUAAAAUUUAUAUCAUGACAACAGCACUAAUUAAAAUUAUGAAGCGAAUUUAUGUUAAUUCGUCAGACUUCUUUAUUCCAAUUACAACUAUUACUAAAUAUCCUAUUCUUUUUACAUCUCUAAUUAAACGAAUUAAAAAGAUCCAAGAAUGUUAUUCACUACUUAAAUAUGAUAUUAAAAUUUCUAAUCUUAAUACUGAUAAAGCUAAGGCUCAAAAUGAACUUAGUGGUGUUUACGGUGUAAAAGUACAGGUAUGUUUUAUGUAGGUUCUGCUCUACGAUUCUUUACUAAUAAAGGUCGACUAACAGACUACUUUAUGCCGUUAAAGCUAGUAUAGAAGGUAAUAGUACUAAAGUAAGUAAAGAUCUAGCAUCCGCUAUUUUUACUUAUGGAAUUGAAGAUUUCACACUCCCUCAACAUGAUAUUAGUAGUAAACUAUAUAAAGCAACUAUUCAAAGUUGGGAACGGAUGAUGCUUUAUCCUACACUAAAUCGUAGUCUUAUGGUAUCUAGUAAUAGUGGAACUAUGAUGUCUGAAGAGAAUCGAAUGAAAAUUAGUACUAUGUUUUAUCAAUAUGAAAUUGAUAAUAACAAUGCAAUUAUUUAUAAUACUGAAAAGAUUCUAUUUGGACUUAAAGAAACUAGUCGGAUUGGAAUUACUAGUAUGGAUAACACACAUUAUCCUAUUCAGUAUGAUACUCUGAAAGGACAUUUUGAUAAUAAAAUGAUCAUCACAACAAAAAUUCUAUUUUUCAGCUGAACCUCUAACUAAUAAUCAGAUUAUUAGUUCUGUAAAUGUAAAUACAGAUGUAGAACUUUCAGAUAAACGAUCUCGAGGUAUUUGGGUUUAUGACGCUAAUACUAAAGAGUUUAUUAGUUAUGAAAGCAGUGUAAAAGAUUGAGAGAUGAAAUAUAACAUCAGUCGAACUCAUCUAAAACGAGUUCGAAAAUAUAAUCAACCGGAAAACUAUUCUGUAAUCAUAAACUAUAAUGAACAUAUAUUUUAUUCCCCUUGCUAUUAAAUAAAUUAACAUAAACAGAAGAUAAGACUCGCGUCGUAAGGAAACUGUAUGCUGGAACACCUUUAGAGUUCUUAGUACUAGAAAAUAUUCAGUAAGAAUCUAAGAAAUUAGGCAAUCAGCAGGAAACCAAGAUUUAAUAUAUAUUAAAUUAGUAGGAUCCUCAGAGACUAUGUGUUUCCAUCUUAAAAUAAAUUAAGAUAAGAUAUAGUCCGAACUAAUUAGAAAUAAUUAGAAGUAAUAUAUUUAUAUAUUACAAUAACAUCAUAAAAUAGGCCAUACCAUAAAUAAACUAAUUAGUAUAUUUAUGUAUUAGGAGUCAGUAUGGUCCCUAUCUUCUGAAGGAAAAAGUAAUCAAUUAAGGACCUCUGGUUAGUACGAAAGGACCGCUGGGGAUGAUUCCAUGGUGUACCUAUUGUUUAAUCUAUAUUUAGAUAUAGCACCGUAGGGUAGCCACAAUCAUGACAGAUAAGCGCUGAAAGCAUCUUAAGCACGAAGCACACCUUAUUAAAUUACAAGAAAUAAGAAGAAGACUACUUCUUAAUUAAUAGGGUGCAAAUGUAAGUAUAGU